CCACUCCCUCUCCUAUCUUAUGGGCCCAGGCUACACCACUCCCUCUCACAUCUUAUGGGCCCAGGCUAUACCACUCCCUCUCACAUCUUAUGGGCCCAGGCUACACCACUCCCUCUCAUAUCUUAUGGGCCCAGGCUACACCACCCCCUCUCACAUCUUAUGGGCCCAGGCUACACCACUCCCUCUCAUAUCUUAUGGGCCCAGGCUACACCACUCCCCCUCCCAUUUUAUGGGCCCAGGCCACACUACUACCCCCCUUGUCUUAUGGGCCCAGGCUACACUAGUACCUUCUCUGUCUUAUGUGGCUAGGCUACACCACUCCAUCCCCUGUCUUAUGGGCCCAGGCUACACCACUCCCUCUCAUAUCUUAUGGGCCCAGGCUACACCACUCCCUCCCCUGUCUUAUGAGCCCAGGCUACACCACUCCCUCUCCUAUCGUAUGGGACCAGGCUACACCACUCUCUCCCCUGUCUUAUGGGCCCAGGCUACACAACUCCCUCCCCUGUCUUAUGGGCCCAGGCUACACCACUCCCUCUCAUAUCUUAUGGGCCCAGGCUACACCACUCCCUCCCUUGUCUUAUGAGCUCAGGCUACACCACUCCCUCUCCUAUCGUAUGGGACCAGGCUACACCACUCUCUCCC
This is a long non-coding RNA of Oncorhynchus tshawytscha (Chinook salmon), 642 nucleotides long. The record is from Ensembl. NCBI's taxonomy places the organism in Eukaryota, Metazoa, Chordata, Actinopteri, Salmoniformes, Salmonidae.